GACGAACGCUGGCGGCGGGCUUAACACAUGCAAGUCGAACGGAAAGGCCCUGCUUUUGUGGGGUGCUCGAGUGACGAACGGGUGAGUAACACGUGAGUAACCUGCCCUUGACUUUGGGAUAACUUCAGGAAACUGGGGCUAAUACCGGAUAGGAGCUCCUGCUGCAUGGUGGGGGUUGGAAAGUUUCGGCCGUUGGGGAUGGACGCGCGGCUUAUCAGCUUGUUGGUUGGGUAGUGGCUUACCAAGGCUUUGACGGGUAGCCGGCCUGAGAGGGUGACCGGCCACAUUGGGACUGAGAUACGGCCCAGACUCCUACGGGAGGCAGCAGUGGCGAAUAUUGCACAAUGGGCGGAAGCCUGAUGCAGCAACGCCGCGUGCGGGAUGACGGCCUUCGGGUUGUAAACCGCUUUCGCCUGUGACGAAGCGUGAGUGACGGUAAUGGGUAAAGAAGCACCGGCUAACUACGUG
This 468-nucleotide ribosomal RNA is filed under the name uncultured bacterium. Its description in RNAcentral is "partial 16S ribosomal RNA". It matches the Rfam family "Bacterial small subunit ribosomal RNA", at positions 28 to 507 of the family's 1533-position model. The record is from RNAcentral.